RNAcentral lists this ribosomal RNA (283 nucleotides) under uncultured ammonia-oxidizing beta proteobacterium. RNAcentral describes it as "partial 16S ribosomal RNA". It matches the Rfam family "Bacterial small subunit ribosomal RNA", at positions 372 to 647 of the family's 1533-position model. The record is from RNAcentral. Lineage: Bacteria; Pseudomonadati; Pseudomonadota; Betaproteobacteria.
UGGGCGAAAGCCUGAUCCAGCAAUGCCGCGUGAGUGAAGAAGGCCUUCGGGUUGUAAAGCUCUUUCAGUCGAGAAGAAAAGGUUGUGACUAAUAAUCACAAUUCAUGACGGUAUCGACAGAAGAAGCACCGGCUAACUACGUGCCAGCAGCCGCGGUAAUACGUAGGGUGCAAGCGUUAAUCGGAAUUACUGGGCGUAAAGGGUGCGCAGGCGGCUUUGUAAGUCAGAUGUGAAAUCCCCGGGCUUAACCUGGGAAUUGCGUUUGAAACUACAAAGCUAGAGU